RNAcentral lists this long non-coding RNA (4624 nucleotides) under Panax ginseng (ginseng). RNAcentral describes it as "long non-coding RNA (PGIN_LNC015020)". Lineage: Eukaryota; Viridiplantae; Streptophyta; Magnoliopsida; Apiales; Araliaceae. The record is from RNAcentral.
AAUCUUAUAUCAAAUCAAUUCAUUUCCCCCGCCCCACUAAAUUAUUAAAAGACAAAGAUACCCGUUAAUUUAAAACACAUCAUCUCCAUUGUUGUUUCUGUCAUCUACUUUCAGAUAUAAAAAAAAAAUAAUUUACACAAUUAACACAAAUUUAAAAAAAUCUACACAAUUAUCAAACUUAGUUACAGAAAUAGCAUAAAAAAUUACACAAUUAACAUAUAUUCUAAAUAAAGUACACCAUUAACAAAUGCAAAAUAAAUUAAGUUUAGUAAAACUAAAUCUUGCCACUUCCAGAAUACUCAAGUCUCAACAUCUCCAUCAUCAUCUUCAACAAUCUCACCAUCAUCACAAAACAUUCAGCCAUCCACUAUUAAUAUCAUUGAGGAACAUUAUCAUCUCCCAUCAAGCUCGAUCCUUCUCUUCCUCUGUGUAUAUGUAGAACCCUAACUUUUUUGGGAUUGAUUCUCUUUAAAAACAAUUGUGAUUCCACAAUUGAAGUAGAAUCAAUUGAAUUUCUAAUAGAAAUUUAACAUAUUUGGUUAAGGUGGUUGAGUAUUAUGGUGGACGACAAUGGUGAUUGGGGUUUUUUGACUUCCUCUUUUUCUCUCUUUCUUUUUUUUUUAAUUUUUUUAGUUAUUAAGUCUGGAUCUGAAAAAGGAUUGUAAAUCAAAAGGUUGUGGGCAUGUCAAAAGUACUAUGUUCAUACGAGUUAAUGGUCAUGGUUCACAGUGAUGGUGAAAAGAGGUUCAAUGGCAGUGGGGUUAUGGCGGUGGUGGUAAGAUUUCGUUCUGGCAUUUAUGUUUUUGCUUGAUUUGCUUAUGAUCUAUGUUAAUUUGAAAUUAUUUUUGUUUCGACCUGAUUUAACCGUGUUUUAUGAAUUUUGUCGUGCCGAAUUUGACUUUUUGGGAUCGAUUUAUGCUUGUUCAUUCUUUGGUCUUCCCCUCUUCGGUGUGAAAUUAUUACUCAGAAAAACUAAUAAAAUUAAUUAAACAAAUUCAAAAAAUGGAGAUGAUGGUGUUUUAAAUUAAUGGGUAUCUUUUUCUUUUAAUAAUUUGGUGGGGCUGGAGAAAUGAAUUGAUUUGGUAUAAGAUUUAAUCUUUGAGAUAAUUUAGCAGUUAGGCUUAUGGUGUUCGGAUGGUCGAGAUUUCAAAGUUGAAAUUUUGAGUUUGAAUCUUGGGCUUCACUUGUUUUUUAACAAUUAAUUGAAAAACGUUGAGGACAACAGCGGUGCCACGUCAGCAAGUCAAUGUACUCAAAUAGAAAGGGUCUCAAUAUCCAAAAAUAUUUAAAGUUUAGGGGCAACAUUUGCAUUUUACCUCUCUUACAUGUUUACAUGUAAGGGUGUAAACGAAUCGAGUCGAUCCGAGUAUUGAGUUGCUCAGAUUUGGUUCACAAAAUUUAUCGAGUAUAAAAUAAGGUUUGAUUGAGGCUCAUUUAGCUACCGAAUCGAGCUCGAGCAGUUUGGACUUUCUAACGAAUAUGAUCCGAGUAUUAAUAGAAAAUUAUAAUUUGAGGAGGUUCGAGUAAUUUAUCGAACUUUAAAAUGUGCUCAUAUUUGACUCAUUUAUAUUUCGAGUCGAGCUCGAAUCGAACUUUUAGUUGAGCGACAUGUAAAAAACGUUACAGUUAAGUUUUAUAUUUUUCUAAAAAAAUAAAUGCAAAACUAACUCAACACGAUUGUAAAUUUAUCCUUAAAUAAUUGUAUUUUGCAACACAUUUGAACAUUUGGAUUAACUAAAGUGUCAAAAAACAAAAUCUGAACAAUUGUGUGAGUUCGUCAUGCCCACAUUAGGACUGAGCAAAAAACGGAUAAAACCGAAUUACCGAACCGAACCGAAUCGAACUGAAAUUUUUUAACCAAAUUUUUUUGGUUAUUCGGGUAUUUUUUGUAAUUCGGUUAUAUCCGAUUUUAUUUCCGAUUUUCGGGUUCGGGUUUGAUUUCCAAUUUUUUGUAAUUCGGUUACUCGAAUAACCGAAUUAAAAAAAAAUAAAAUGGAAGACUUAAAAAUAAAAACAAACCGUGUCUCUCAGACUUCUCUUAGUCUUAGUAUCCAACCCUCUCUCAUAUCUCAGACUUCUCAAUAUCCAACUAUCUCGCUAAAACCCAAAUCAAUUUUGUAAGACCCCGAAUUUUUUUUUUAAAUAAAAAGAAAUUUCCUUUAUUUAUUAUUUUGAAAUAGUAAGGGUGGAUUUGAUUAAUGUGGUUAGUUAUGGGUAAAAUGCGCAAAUAUUUUAAAUAAGCAAGUGGUGAUAUAAUAUUCAUUAUUGUCGGAGAAUAUUCGUUUGGUCGUGGAAUAUUCGUACUGUCGGGGAAUAUUCGUACGACGGCGCAGCCAUGUGUGGGCCCCAUAACGGAAAGCGAUUGGAGGAAGAAAACGACAAAUAUAAGUUGUUUAAAAAUAACGGCGUAGUUGUUACCGUUUACACUGUUGGAAUACCCGGUGGUUAAAACACAGUAAUACGCGUUGUUGCACAGUAGCACACGGUAUUGCACCAAUUAUUGAUUCUUACGUAAGAAGGCACUACUCAAUAAUGGUUACAGUAAUUACUGUUCAGUAUUUUAUUUUAUUGAUUCAAUAAUUGCUGCGUUGAUAUUUUAUAUUGCUGUUGUUUCAAUAAUUGUCAUUACACAGUAUUUUUCAUUAUCGAAGCAAUAAUUCAUAUUAUCUGAAUAAUAUUAUUAGAUAACAUUAUUGGCAAUGUCUAGAAAGUUCUGUCUAAGGAGAGGUUUGGUCACCUAAUUGCGCGCCAGUAAGGAGAAAUUCUUAUUGGAAAGCCCCCUCUUUCCUGGGAACUGCCUGGUUGUCAAUAUUGUGAUUCUGUAAUAUUAUUUGUGAAUAAUUAAUUAUUGAUUCAUAUGAUGAGGAAAAUAUUGAUUUUAUGUGGAUAUAGAUGGAGAAAAUUUUUAAUGUGACAAUUGUUGAAAAUUGAAAUUUUAUCUUUUUCUGAUAAAAUAAUUCAUAUAUAUAUAUAUAUUAUUAUAUUUUAAUAAUAUAAUAAUGGUGAUAUUUUUACAACGAAUGUGGGAUAUAUGAGUAUACGAGGAGGAAGAGUAUUUUUGUUGCAAUAAAUGUUUAAAACAUGUUAAACAUGUCGGUGGACCCCAUUUCUUGACUGAAAUUUGAUUAUAGCCUGUAAAAUCGCCCGUUUGUGGAUUUCGGUCAAUUUCUGUUUGGAAUUUGGAAAAACUUUCUUCUGCAAAGUUGUAGAGAAUUGAAUUUCCUAUAAAAACUCGCGAGAUUCGAAUUUUCUGAUAAAAGGGCUAUUUAUUAUGAAUUAUUGAAGUUUUGAAGUUCCAGAAUAAUUGAUUUUUGAAGUUUUAAUUAUUUUUUUUAAUAAAAAUGUUUUUGUUAAGGUUGGUGGGCCCCACUUAUUGUUAAACAUGCUGAAAUUAGAUGAUUCAAGGUGGGUGUAGAAAAUUUUAUAUAUAUAUAUUAAUAUUUUAUUAAAUUUUCUGCUUUGGUGUUCUAAGCAUUUUCCUAUAAAUAGGGUGCUUAGGUUAGAAUUGAAAAUCACACCAGAAACUGAAGUUUUCUCUCUCUAUAUUAUCGAGCGUAUUCUUGUGAGUAUUUUGAGUAUACUUUGAGUAUUGCUAUACGGUGAAAGUUCAAGAUAUAGUCUAUAUCCAGUAUUCCAGUUAGAAGUACUGAUCUUUCGAGGUAAGGGAUAUUUUUUUUUUUCGUAAUGAUAUUAUUUCUUCAAUAUCAUUAUGCUGAAAUAUUGAUCUGAAGUUUUUAUCAAAUUUGGAACUUUUGGUGUCGGAGUUACUAUUCACGUAUACGGCACUAUUCACGUAUACGGUACUAUUCACGAAUACGGCACUAUUCAUCGAAAAAUGAAAAUUUUUCUUUUCGUCCAAAAUAUCUAUUGUGGAUACUAGCUUUGAUUGUAUCCAUGUUUUGAUCAUUCUUGAAUUUUACACCACUAUGAUUAUUUUUGAGGUAUUUUUGGACGUGGAUAAAACAAAGUACGAAUCCUUAAUCCUUAAUCCUUGUCAUUUUGUUUCACUGGAUUCGUUUUUUUAAAAAAUAUUUUUCAUCAUCCUCAGUCUUAAAUGAUGAUAUUAUUGAAUAUCUUUGGCCUGUAGUGCAAAGAUGAAUGAUUUAUGAUGAAUAUCUUUGGCCUGUAGUGCAAAGAUGAAUGAUUUCUGAUGAAUAUCUUUGGCCUGUAGUGCAAAGAUGAAUGAUUUCUGAUGAAUAUCUUUGGCCCGUAGUGCAAAGAUGAACAGGUGUUUAGAUGAACAUGACCAACUGGUGAAUGUCCUUGGCCUGUAGUGCAAGGAUGAAUAUUUGAUCCCAGAUAUAUAUUGAUUGAUGUUACAGGGAUAAAAAUAGACGAUGAACUUUAAAAUUCAUACAUAGAAGAUAGUAGUUUGCAUUCUCUACUUAACUCUUCUAAUGAAUUAUUAUUUCCGCUGCGAAUAUUGAUUUAAAACUUGUUGUCUAUUGUAUUCUAUUAUAUUUUUCCCUGUUGAAGACUAACGAUAAUUUUGUUGUAUAUUAUCUUAGUCAUAAUAUUCUUUACUGGGCUAGUCGAGCUCACCCUUUUCCUUUUUGUUCCAUUUUUCUUCUCAGGAGGCGAGAAUAUAGCGAGUACGAGUCGGGGUAUGGAAUGAAAGUUCUAG